RNAcentral lists this ribosomal RNA (789 nucleotides) under uncultured bacterium. RNAcentral describes it as "bacterial SSU rRNA". It matches the Rfam family "Bacterial small subunit ribosomal RNA", at positions 8 to 796 of the family's 1533-position model. The record is from RNAcentral.
AGAGUUUGAUCAUGGCUCAGAUUGAACGCUGGCGGCAUGCCUUACACAUGCAAGUCGAACGCGAAAGGGGGCAACCCUGAGUAGAGUGGCGAACGGGUGAGCAAUACAUCGGAACGUGUCCUGUAGCGGGGGACACCUCGAGAAAUCGAGGCUAAUACCGCAUACGAUCUACGGAUGAAAGUGGGGGACCGCAAGGCCCCACACUAUAGGAGCGGCCGAUGCCGGAUUAGCUAGUUGGUGGGGUAAAAGCCUACCAAGGCGACGAUCCGUAGCUGGUUUGAGAGAACGACCAGCCACACUGGGACUGAGACACGGCCCAGACUCCUACGGGAGGCAGCAGUGGGGAAUUUUGGACAAUGGGCGCAAGCCUGAUCCAGCCAUGCCGCGUGAGUGAAGAAGGCCUUCGGGUUGUAAAGCUCUUUCGGCCGGGACGAAAUGGCGCGGGGUAACAUCCCGCGUCGAUGACGGUACCGGAAGAAGAAGGACCGGCUAACUACGUGCCAGCAGCCGCGGUAAUACGUAGGGUCCAAGCGUUAAUCGGAAUUACUGGGCGUAAAGCGUGUGCAGGCGGUUUCGAAAGUCCGAUGUGAAAUCCCCGGGCUUAACCUGGGAACUGCGUUGGAAACUACGAGGCUAGAGUGCGGCAGAGGGGGGUGGAAUUCCAGGUGUAGCAGUGAAAUGCGUAGAGAUCUGGAGGAACACCGAUGGCGAAGGCAGCCCCCUGGGUUAGCACUGACGCUCAUACACGAAAGCGUGGGGAGCAAACAGGAUUAGAUACCCUAGUAGUCC